AGCCUAACCCACAACUUUUAUAGAGGUGGCAUGGUUAAGAAAACGCGUAAACCAUACUGAUCCCGUCGUUCAGGUUCGUUUACGCGUCAUGGAGGGAAACUUUCAUGGGGCCUGUAAUAAGGUCU
Molecule: small RNA, 125 nt
Filed under: unclassified sequences
Description: LOOT RNA
Rfam family: LOOT RNA
About the family: Latescibacteria, OD1/Parcubacteria, OP11, TM7. Lineage (Microgenomates, aka OP11)
Source: Rfam by way of RNAcentral